This is a long non-coding RNA of Rhea pennata, 1630 nucleotides long. RefSeq lists it as uncharacterized. NCBI's taxonomy places the organism in Eukaryota, Metazoa, Chordata, Aves, Rheiformes, Rheidae. The transcript is spliced from 2 exons. The record is from RefSeq and is a predicted model, not a curated record.
GCCGCCUGGCAGCCGCGCGGCUUCCCCGUUUCGCCCAGGCCUCGGGGCCGCGCUGGCCGAAACGGCGCUCGACGGCGACCCGCGGGGGGAGAAAGCGCUUCUGCCUUUUUUUUUUUUUAAAUAAACUAAGGAAGCUGUAUGCAAACCAAGUCAAACUCAAUCAAUGUUGUAGUUAACAUUAAAAUGCUCGGAGGCGGCUCUGUUUAAAGCUCUCUGUGCAGCCCUGUGUGUGUUUGUCCUACUUUCCUCGCAGCUUUCCCGAAACACCUCCGCAGGAUUUGCAAGCGCUCGGCGGCGCUCCGGGGGUUGCUGCCCCGUACAGAACGGGACACCGAGCUUCGCCGCCCUGCAUCUGCGCUGAGACGGGCGUAAUUCAGCCAAACGCGGGUUACGGCUUUCAGGGUAAUCCUGUAUCCCUUGCAAAUAUGGAAGGACUGCAGGACAUCACUUCAGUACAUACCAGUAACCACCAAAGGAAACUUUGCGAAGGGGCUGCUUGUUAUAUAUAAGCAUACUGGGAUGAAGACUGGUCACCUAUUUACUAGCUUUCCUGAAAAAACAACAGAGCAUCUUCCAUAUGAGACCAGACGCUUAAGUCCUGGAUGGGACACAGUCACUUACUGUCCUAGGGCCUCACUUGGCAUGGGGAAGGUGAACAAGGACAGAAAAGAGAGUGGCCUAGAAAGCGGCAGCAUCAAAAAGAAACAGACAACGCGCACACAAACUGAGGAGCUUGUUUCCGUAGGGUAUUGUGGAUACUGAAAAGUUGCAGGGGCUUAAGAACCGACUGGACAAAUUCAAGGAAGAAAAGCCCAUCCAGGGCUAUUAAACAUGAACAGACCAUCUCCAGCUCAGGAAGUCUCUGGGCCACAAACCAGUGGUCUGGUGGAGUAUUUAGGAGAAUAAUGACUGUGUACUUGGCCUGUUUUUAUACUAUCUGUAAGCUUUCGCAAUUGGCUGCAGCUGAAGGUAGUUAUCUUUACUGCUCGAUGGAUCUUUUAUCUGGCUCCUUUAGCUCUUGGAGACAUUCUGCAGAAAUCACGACGGCUUAGCUUAUCCUGCUUAGCUGGUCUCUGCUAGUAAGUCUCAGUUCAUCCAGGCAGUGUUCAGAAGGUGAAAGAAAAUGCUCAAAGAGCAAAAAUGCCCCCAGUCUUGCUUUUGUGAAACAGAACUAUCCACCCAGACUCUGUUGUUUGCCAUUACAGACAUCCAAAUUUAGGAAACAUAUGGGCGUGGGCAUAUUUAGAGUCAUUGACCACACGCAUGACAUAGCACUGGUUACUAAAACUGACCUGAGGUUGUUUGUCUUGCAGGAUAUGGUAAGGAGGCUUGGACUGAGUAUCAUUGACUAAGGUCACAAGAGUUAAGCUUGAAAUAGCAGAACUUGAGAACAUUUGGGAUGUAAACAGGUGACUAAAGGGAGCAUGUCAGAGGCUUUUUGCAAGGGAUAAUCAUUGACCAGAACUGUUGGCAUGUAAGCCCUGCUCUGAGAAAGGCUCUACUGCCCAUGUAGCAGCACUAGCAACAAAAAAAAAUUAGCUCUGACUUCAUUGUAAGUUAAUUAUAUUGCUAGGGAUUUGUAAUUCCAGUUGUAUGUCCUAAUAAAUUAAAAGAGUGAUUAUAAACAUGG